GGAGCUGCUCCGGCCCAGCUGCAGCCAUGAGCUUCUGGCAGUGAGAGGAAAGGCCUUCACAGUAAUGUCUGAACAGCAAGGGCGAGGACACCCUUUUUCUCAUUGUAACAAAGGGUUUCCCAAGUAGUCCCUAGUUUGGGUUUAUCCUCGCUGGUGCAGCCACACCAUGGUGUAGAAAUGCCAAAGCUGUAUUUAAGGACUGCAGCUCAGGCAGGAAAGAGUAUCAUGUUUGGCUCUAACACCCACCCAAAAAACAAGGCUGCCCUGAGCCUUUUCCUGCUAUCUCAGCUUGGUUUAAUCAUCUUGGUCACACAGUUCAGGUACACUUUACAAGGAGCUGAAGGAGGGAAAUUUAUGUUAGAUAUUAGGAAGGAAUUCUGUCUUGUGAGGGUGGUGAGGCUCUGGAACAGGUUGCCCAGAGAGAUUGUGGCUGCCUCAUUCCUGGCAGUGUUCCAGGCCAGAUUGGAUGGGGCUCUGAGCAACCUGGGAUAGUGGAAGGUGUCCCUGCCCACAGCAGAUGGGUUUGGGACCAGGUGAUCUUUAAGGUCACUUACAACUCCUUAUCAUUCUAUCAUGUGAAUCAGCUCAGAGCCAGGCUUUCUCCUUACAAAAUCCAGAGCUCAGUGUGCAGGACAGCACCAUCUCUUCCAGGAAGCCACACACUGGACUUCAGUUUGGUGAGACACCCAGGAAACUGAACACAAAGCCUGCCCUGCCACAAGCCUCAAUUUUUAUACUUCCUCAGCUAGUCCUACCAUGCUUGGGCUGGCUCCCUCAGCUGCAUGUCCAUGUGAGAGAUUCCCACUGCACAUAUUCCUCUGUAAAGAAACAUUCACCAGUCUUCACACAGCACCCCAGGCUGCUCUAUCGCUGUACAACCCAUCAAGGGAGGUGAAGGAGGAGGGUCAAAACUCUUGAGCUCAGGAAGAGAUAACACGGGUGCUAGAGAUAAGAAGGAAGGAGGGAAAUAAUGCAACGUGGAGUCAGCUUUGAGAGCAUAGAGAGCAGAAGGAGCUUGCUGAAGGAAAAGACUUAGAAGGUUGCUGCCAACAUCUCCCUCGUGCCAGUGCACACAUGACCAUGUAUGAGCCAUCCCAGGGAGUUGUCAAGACAAAAAAAAAACAACCCAGGAGCAGAGUGAUGUGAGCAGCCAUAAAGCAGGUCCAUGUCCUCCAUGUGCUGGGACCCCAGAGCAGCUGUAUAAGCUGCACAAGAGGACAAGAACACAGGACUGGGCAGCAAAGCAGGAACAGGAAAGCAGAAACCUGGACUUAGCCCUACGUUCUGGUGAAACCACACCCAGGAUCCACAGACCAGUCCCUGCCACUCCAGUGUAGGUGUCUCUCUGUGUGUGACUGCCAAGCACUCUGCACACAGAGCCAGGUGCUCCCUCAACAGCCCACGCACACCAGCAGCAGCAGAGCAGGGGGCUUUUACACCCUCAGUCCUGGCCCUCUGCUAGGAACAUGUCUGCUGCCCUCCCAGGUGAGAAGCAGGCACCAGGGGAGCAGGAUAUUCUAAUUGGAUUCACAACCAUUUCCAAAUGAGCGAUUGUUUUUAUGGUUUUAUGUUUCCUUGUCUUGUUAUUGCCACUGACUGGGCCGUUCCAGGGAACCCACAGCCAGCCUUCUUCCCAUAGGAAAGGGCUGGCUCUGAGGGGAUGUUGCGUGGAAGAGAGGUGAAUUAGGAGACAGCCCCUGUCCAACUCUGAAAACAAGUAACAACAUGUGGAGAUCCUCGGAAAAGCCCUGGAAACCUCCUCAAACCACCUGCAAAGUCUAGCAGGGAAAUACUCCAAAGGGAAGGGAAGGGGAAGACAUUCUUGUGACCUUGUCUUUCAGAUCAAACUGAAUAUAAAUCAGGGGUUUAAAUGCUGUUACUGAUAUACAUCAGUCUUAGAAAAUGCUUUUUAUAACCAGCUUUACCAAUUAGUACUACCUUAUUUCAAGGUUUAUAGUAGUAAUUACAGCUCAUAGAUGUUGUAGUGAAGAUUUAGCAUUAGUUCCUAAUACUGUCAUUAACAGUAUAUUAUAAAAAUUUUUAAAAAAAGAAAAAGGUAGAGACCCACAGGUACAAACUUAAAAAAAUUAAGAAACAGAACACACAGAUGAAUACUGAUAUUCUCUAUUUCAGUAUUAUUUCCCCUUCUUUCUCAAUGUGCAAAAAUUACAUCCACAUACUUUCGUGUUCAGUACACCUCCAAGUGUGGACUAAUUAAAAGCAUUUAUUUUAUACCAGCUCAGAAAUAUUACUAACAUUUCUUUGAUGCAUUAAUUAAAAUAUUUUCCUAUUUUAAUAAUAAAACAUGUUUCAAUGCAUAAGGAACAACUAGAGAUAUUUUCAUCCUUCCUCUCUCUGUUUUCAUUUUUCUGCACAUGAAUGAGGGGGCAGAGUCUGUUUUCCACCACCACCCUUCCAGAUUCUCUAAAACUGCACUCCUUGCUGGCUUCAUGAUCUUCAGAUAUUAGCUGAGCAAUCAGGAUCCUAAGAUUGCCUUUGGGAGUCUUUGAAGACCUCAACUCUGUCUCUUCUUGACUGGCCUACGGCUUCCUUUUGCUCAGCCCUGUGGCAUGUAACACCACCUCUCUCUUUCCCCUCCCAGGUCCCACCUUAUCAGAUGGCAAUGCUGAGGAGUAAAAUAAGGUCUGUGUGCCUCAAAUUUACCCCAAGCUCCUGAAUUCAGUGUAGCAGUGAGAAAUCAGAGGAUGAGGCAACUUAACAGCGGCCUGUGAGUAACAGUGGAAAAUCGAGCUGAUAAAAUUUCCUUCACCUCUUUUAUGACACGGUCACAAAAUGAUAGCUCUGGCUGAGGAAUGCCAAGUCCUCGCGUCCCCCAGCCUACACAGGCGUGCAUGGCAUAUUCUAAUUGGACUGGUGCAUACCUUCCCAUCCAUGAGAGACUUCCCCCAGGAAGCCAUAGGCACCAGGCAAAUGAAAUCAGAGACUCAGCUCCUUCGCCUUCCCAUUACCUUCAACACGCUUUGAUCAGCGGGGCAUAAAUAAACACGUAAACAUCCCAUCUCUGCCAAGGUCAAUGAGAUGCAGCAGAGUUCCUCCAGUUACCUAAAGGAGUUCAUUGGACUUAGGAUGGGGAAAAUGCUUUGCUGUGCUUAAAAAAGAAAUCACUGCAUGUAACAGCAAAGCGUAUGAUGUGCUGUGACCACUGUAGUUUGGGAAAGCUAAGAGCAAUAGAGAGCCUGAAGGGGGAAGGGUUGGGAUUGUCAGUGGACCAUACCCAAGAAGGAUGGAAGAGCCAGAGCUCUCCUUCUUGGAGUCCUCUUCCCAAACACCUUCCUGUAUGGAAAAUUUGGUCUAACCUCUGCCAGACUGAUGCAUCUGAGGAACCCAGCUUUCAGCACAGAUUUUUGCUGCCUAUUACUGAAGCCAGCACCUCACCUCAUCCACUUGUGCCAUAGAAGAUGCAAUUACAGCUGUCCCCACAGCAGGACACGCAGCAUUGCUGCUUUUGAUGCAAACAUAGGGAAUACCCCAGCAUUCCAAACCUUUGGCUAUUCCUGCACUUGCCCUAGCAGAAGGUGGCAAAGAUGCACCCUGCUGUUUUAAGUCUUGCCUCUCCUCAUGGCUAGGGCUUAUGAGCAUGGGUGCAGCCACUAGAAAUUUCAAGCCAGUGGGGCCCACAAAGGAUAUCUGUUAUCACCAGUAACAUAAUCCAGGCUGGAAGGGGAACACACAUUAGGAUAUGGGGGGCUCUCCUUCCUACAGUGCCUCGCUGCAGCCAUUCAUUAAAAGGAGUCUCUACAGAUGACUUAGAUUGUAACCGGUUUUGGCGUACUUUUAG
Long non-coding RNA from Passer domesticus (house sparrow), 3799 nucleotides. RefSeq lists it as uncharacterized. The transcript is spliced from 3 exons. The record is from RefSeq and is a predicted model, not a curated record. Lineage: Eukaryota; Metazoa; Chordata; Aves; Passeriformes; Passeridae.